RNAcentral lists this ribosomal RNA (561 nucleotides) under uncultured bacterium. RNAcentral's name for it is "bacterial SSU rRNA". It matches the Rfam family "Bacterial small subunit ribosomal RNA", at positions 338 to 916 of the family's 1533-position model. The record is from RNAcentral.
CCUACGGGAGGCAGCAGUGGGGAAUCUUGCGCAAUGGGCGAAAGCCUGACGCAGCAACGCCGCGUGCGGGAAGAAGGCUUUCGGGCUGUAAACCGCUUUCAGCAGGAACGAAAAUGACGGUACCUGCAGAAGAAGGAGCGGCCAACUAUGUGCCAGCAGCCGCGGUGAUACAUAGGCUUCAAGCGUUGUCCGGAUUUAUUGGGCGUAAAGAGUUCGUAGGCGGUCGAGUAAGUCGGGUGUGAAAAUUCUGGGCUCAACCCAGAGACGCCACCCGAUACUGCUUAACUUGAGUUCGAUAGGGGAGUGGGGAAUUCCUAGUGUAGCGGUGAAAUGCGCAGAUAUUAGGAGGAACACCGGUGGCGAAGGCGCCACUCUGGAUCGAUACUGACGCUGAGGAACGAAAGCAUGGGUAGCAAACAGGAUUAGAUACCCUGGUAGUCCAUGCCGUAAACGGUGGGCACUAGGUGUGGGAUUCUAUUAACGAAUUCCGCGCCGUCGCUAACGCAUUAAGUGCCCCGCCUGGGGAGUACGGUCGCAAGCUAAAACUUAAUGAAUUGACGG